Non-coding RNA from Lepisosteus oculatus (spotted gar), 575 nucleotides. Lineage: Eukaryota; Metazoa; Chordata; Actinopteri; Semionotiformes; Lepisosteidae. The record is from RefSeq and is a predicted model, not a curated record.
GAGGCUCAAGAGCCGAGGAACUGGGAGGGAGGCAGUGCUGGUGAAGGCUCAAGAGCCGAGGAACUGGGAGGGAGGCAGUGCUGGUGGAGGCUCUGGAGUCGAGGAACUGGGAGGGAGGCAGUGCUGGUGAAAGCUCUAGAGCCGAGGAACUGGGAGGGAGGCAGUGCUGGUUGUAAUAGCCAGAGGCGGAGAACUGCGCGACAGGCGGCCUCACGAGAAGCGGCAGGAGUGCUGACUGGAAGCCAGACCGUGCGCGCAGUUUCUGUGGGGUCGGAAAGGGAAGGGGCGUUGUGUGCAGGUUCUGUUAGAACCGCGCAUAAAGCUUAAAAUGUGCUUCUCAUUUCUGGUCCUAGAGGGAACAUAAGCUUGGUCUCGCGCGUCUCAGCCGGGUCUUUAGGCCGCUCGGAGGCCCCGCGCUAAGACAGGCGCCCCGAGCCGAGCUGCAGCGCGCAGAGCAAGGCGAGGAGACGCCGGGGCGGCCGGCAGGACCUGCAGAAAUCUCAGGCUGUCCGAUUCUGCACUUCUCAAUCCCCUCCUGGCGGGAGUCUGAGCAGGGGAUCCACAGAGGAGGCCGC